UGUUGGCGGGGUAACGGCCCACCAAGGCAACGAUCAGUAGGGGUUCUGAGAGGAAGGUCCCCCACAUUGGAACUGAGACACGGUCCAAACUCCUACGGGAGGCAGCAGUGAGGAAUAUUGGUCAAUGGGCGAGAGCCUGAACCAGCCAAGUAGCGUGCAGGAAGACGGCCCUAUGGGUUGUAAACUGCUUUUAUAAGGGAAUAAAGUUAGUCUCGUGAGACUUUUUGCAUGUACCUUAUGAAUAAGGACCGGCUAAUUCCGUGCCAGCAGCCGCGGUAAUACGGAAGGUCCGGGCGUUAUCCGGAUUUAUUGGGUUUAAAGGGAGCGUAGGCCGGAGAUUAAGCGUGUUGUGAAAUGUAGACGCUCAACGUCUGCACUGCAGCGCGAACUGGUUUCCUUGAGUACGCACAAAGUGGGCGGAAUUCGUGGUGUAGCGGUGAAAUGCUUAGAUAUCACGAAGAACUCCGAUUGCGAAGGCAGCUCACUGGAGCGCAACUGACGCUGAAGCUCGAAAGUGCGGGUAUCGAACAGGAUUAGAUACCCUGGUAGUCCGCACGGUAAACGAUGGAUGCCCGCUGUUGGUCUGAACAGGUCAGCGGCCAAGCGAAAGCAUUAAGCAUCCCACCUGGGGAGUACGCCGGCAACGGUGAAACUCAAAGGAAUUGACGGGGGCCCGCACAAGCGGAGGAACAUGUGGUUUAAUUCGAUGAUACGCGAGGAACCUUACCCGGGCUUGAAUUGCAGAGGAAGGAUUUGGAGACAAUGACGCCCUUCGGGGUCUCUGUGAAGGUGCUGCAUGGUUGUCGUCAGCUCGUGCCGUGAGGUGUCGGCUUAAGUGCCAUAACGAGCGCAACCCCUCUCCUUAGUUGCCAUCAGGUUAAGCUGGGCACUCUGGGGACACUGCCACCGUAAGGUGUGAGGAAGGUGGGGAUGACGUCAAAUCAGCACGGCCCUUACGUCCGGGGCUACACACGUGUUACAAUGGCAGGUACAGAGAGACGGUUGUACGUAAGUACGAUCAAAUCCUUAAAGCCUGUCUCAGUUCGGACUGGGGUCUGCAACCCGACCCCACGAAGCUGGAUUCGCUAGUAAUCGCGCAUCUGCCAUGGCGCGGUGAAUACGUUCCCGGGCCUUGUACACACCGCCCGUCAAGCCAUGAAAGCCGGGGGCGCCUAAAGUCCGUGACCGUAAGGAGCGGCCUAGGGCGAAACUGGUAAUUGGGGCUAAGUCGUAACAAGGUA
Molecule: ribosomal RNA, 1241 nt
Filed under: metagenome
Description: bacterial SSU rRNA
Rfam family: Bacterial small subunit ribosomal RNA
Source: RNAcentral